CGUUCCUACGCCCCUGCCCUAACAGUAGGCCUACCUUGGCCUCCAGCUCCCACUAAAAAGCCGGUUAUAUCGGCCUGCCCAGCAUGCUUAUACCAAUGAACGUGGAAGGAGACUUGAGCCGGAUCAAUGAAGUGGGGGACGAAAAGAGAAAGCGGAGGAUGACAAGCGGCCGGCUCCGGCUCCGGCUCCCUGCCCUCGUCGGGAUUCCCUUUCUCGGGCGAGUCAUCAUGAGUCCCAGGCAGCAUGGGGCACAAGGCAGGGGACGCCCUGGACGGGAUGCAAGGGCAUCACAGGACGCACACAGAGGAAAGUGGAGUACCUGGAAAUAAUCCAUGCAAACACGGGGAGAAUAUGCAAGUUAACUGUUCACAUCCCCAUUUAUUUGUCGCAACCUGAAAAAAACAUCGGUAAUUAUGUUGUAUCGGUUUUUGGCCCCAGAACUGACAUCUUUGUCUUUUGUUUUGCGAUUCUGGCAGCAAAGAGCUGUGACAUGCUUCCUGGAGACAGCAGAGACAGGCUGAGGGGGCUGACGCCGUGUCACGUCCCUCCGCUGGGCCUGGAGUGACAGGGAAGAUUAUUUCAUUGGCACCUUAAUGAAAGUGCCACGAUAAUGAGCGAGCUAGCAUCCUGAACCCCCCAAACACACACCGGAUCAGCUUACACCAUCCUGGGAAACACACACACAGACACACACAGACACACAUGUUCCAACCACACUAACAGUGGGUGAGGGGUAUAGUACUGACAUAACCUUUACACCCCUACACCCCCAAGUGAGUGACCACAGUCACAGAUAAGGGCGAUAAAAAGCACCUGUAUGUUUCAGUUACAGUUCCUUCAGUUUGACAGCACUCAGUCCUAAAUGUUGGUGCAUGUUUGACACAAGAAAUAGCAAAACAUAAAUACUUAACAGAGUCUUACUACUCUACUACUUACUAAAUUGCCAUCAUGAAGUACUACUUGUAAAGAACUUACGAACAACUUGGCGAAACCUUCAUGAACAGUGAAUCAUCUCUUUCAAGAGCUACAUAAAUGUUUA
Long non-coding RNA from Paramormyrops kingsleyae, 1039 nucleotides. RefSeq lists it as uncharacterized. The record is from RefSeq and is a predicted model, not a curated record. NCBI's taxonomy places the organism in Eukaryota, Metazoa, Chordata, Actinopteri, Osteoglossiformes, Mormyridae.